UCGGGAAUUUUGGGCAAUGGGGGAAACCCUGACCCAGCAACGCCGCGUGAAGGAUGAAGUAUUUCGGUAUGUAAACUUCGAAAGAAUAGGAAGAAUAAAUGACGGUACUAUUUAUAAGGUCCGGCUAACUACGUGCCAGCAGCCGCGGUAAUACGUAGGGACCAAGCGUUGUUCGGAUUUACUGGGCGUAGAGGGCGCGUAGGCGGCAUGACAAGUCACUUGUGAAAUCUCUGGGCUUAACCCAGAACGGCCAAGUGAUACUGUCGCGCUAGAGUGCAGAAGGGGCAAUCGGAAUUCUUGGUGUAGCGGUGAAAUGCGUAGAUAUCAAGAGGAACACCUGAGGUGAAGGCGAGUUGCUAGGCUGACACUGACGCUGAGGUACGAAAGCUAGGGGAGCGAACGGGAUUAGAUACCCACGUAGUCCCUGAGCGGGCUGGCAAGGCGCAU
RNAcentral lists this ribosomal RNA (447 nucleotides) under uncultured bacterium. RNAcentral describes it as "bacterial SSU rRNA". It matches the Rfam family "Bacterial small subunit ribosomal RNA", at positions 355 to 825 of the family's 1533-position model. The record is from RNAcentral.